AAUGAGCGUUGGCGGCGUGGAUUAGGCAUGCAAGUCGUGCGUAAAGAGUAGCAAUACUCGGAAGCGGCGUAAGGGAGAGUAAUACAUAGGUAUUUACCCUGGGGUCUGGGAUAGCGGCGGGAAACUGCCGGUAAUACCAGAUGAUAUCUCCGGAUCAAAGGUGUGAUUCCGCCCUAGGAGAAGCCUGUGGUCUAUUAGCUAGUUGGUAGGGUAACGGCCUACCAAGGCAAAGAUGGANAUGGGGGC
RNAcentral lists this ribosomal RNA (246 nucleotides) under uncultured bacterium. RNAcentral's name for it is "partial 16S ribosomal RNA". It matches the Rfam family "Bacterial small subunit ribosomal RNA", at positions 29 to 292 of the family's 1533-position model. The record is from RNAcentral.